Molecule: long non-coding RNA, 1121 nt
Organism: Chelonia mydas (Green sea turtle)
Lineage: Eukaryota; Metazoa; Chordata; Testudines; Cheloniidae
Exons: 2
Source: RefSeq, a predicted model, not a curated record
ACAAAAGGCAGCAGGGGCUGGAAUGAAGGGGGAAGGGCAGUGAGUUGUGGGAAGUUCCCUGCGGAGAAGACCCUGAUACCAGGGGGUUUGGAAGUCAGAGCUAGAGACUCAAGGCAGGAAAGCCAGGGAGUCAGCUGAAUUGGAGACUACUGGGAGUGAGCAGGCUCCAGCAGAAAGAGCUGGGCUGUGGGCUUUCCCUCCGGAGACUACAGGCAGGAAAGGCUUGGGAGGGUUCAAGUUGUGCUCAGCAAAGAAAUGGCUAGGAAGCCUGUCCUGGAUAUGGUCUGCAAAAGGAGGCAGAUUGUAGACAACAGCAACCCAUAUGUGGCCCUAGGCAUGGGCUGAACUCUGAUGAUACUAAUCAGUGGUGCAGAGACAGAAUCCCAGUCAAUAGCCCAUUGUACACCCACGGACAUGCCUGGACACAGCAUGCCGCGCAUGGCGUACUUUGUGCUCUCCUCACAGCCCACAGCGGUACCCGGUGAAAGCACUGGUGGCUCUAGGGUGGGUUCCGCUGCACCAGCAGAAUACGCAGCACCAUUUAGAUUUGGCCUGGCCGUGAGUGGGAUGCAGUGUGGUGCAUGGGGCCGCAGCACCACUCAGGUUUGACCCAGCCAUCCCUCAUGACGGAGGGGCUGCUGAGCCAAAGUUGAGUGCAUGAUGUGGCGACCUAGUGCAUCGGGUUGUAGUGCCAGUCAUGUUUGUGCAUGUCGCCUGCCCUGGCCAUGCCAGAUCCCACUGUUGCUGCUGCUGACAUCAUCGUGCUGGGUCUGAGGGGACCCAUCAGGCCAGGAGCCUGGAGAUUGGAGUGGGAUUGGGGAUAACACUCCCACUGGAAGUUGGCCAGAGCUCAGGGAGAGGUGGAACAGGAAGCAGCCCCCUAGUCACACAUAGGGCACAGACCCCGCAUACCCAUGGUGAGGUCAGCGACCCCACAGGCCUGGGCACACUCUGACCCAACAUCCACCUACUGAGCCCCCUGCUCCUUGGUAUAUUGUGCACCCAUUGAUGUGGGAGCUUGCUUCCGCCUCUGGGUUAAAGAAUUCUUUCCAUGCAUGCCAUUUCUGCUUUUUGGUUUUUUUCCUCUGUCACGUGUAAAGAGAAUAAUGAUCUGAAAUGAA